This 273-nucleotide unclassified non-coding RNA is filed under the name Hevea brasiliensis (rubber tree). Lineage: Eukaryota; Viridiplantae; Streptophyta; Magnoliopsida; Malpighiales; Euphorbiaceae. The record is from RNAcentral.
UUCCCCUCCUUCAAUUAUCACUGAAGGCUCUCAAGGAGGCCCAUGGAGAAAGAAAGUUACUGAUUUUGAUGGAACUGAGGAUGAAAAGGACUUCCCUUGGUGGUGUAUAGAUUGCGUACAGCAUAAUCGCCUCCCUCCAAGAGAAAAUACCAAGUGCAGCUUUUAUCUGCAUCCUUGCGAAGGCUCAGCUGUCCAGAUCCUCACACAAGGCAAACUAAGUGCACCCCGCAUACUGAGAAUACAUAAAGUUGUCAAUUAUGUCAUAGAAAAGAU